Long non-coding RNA from Oenanthe melanoleuca, 6885 nucleotides. RefSeq lists it as uncharacterized. The transcript is spliced from 5 exons. The record is from RefSeq and is a predicted model, not a curated record. NCBI's taxonomy places the organism in Eukaryota, Metazoa, Chordata, Aves, Passeriformes, Muscicapidae.
CUCUGUUUGGACGAUGUGACUUGGUGAGCUGCAAUUUGGCUUGGAUUACAGUAUUUCAGAAGACUUUUUGAACUUAUCAGGCAACCCUCUCCCUAAACUUUGGGGACAGAGGAGCUUAAAUUUAUUUCCAGUGUCACACAAGGAGAAAGGAGUUGGCUGCUUCGCCCAAGUAAUGAAAAUCAAUUCUGUGUUGCUCUUGGAAGAAAGGAAAAAAGCCUGGCAUAUAGAUCUCGGUUUAGAGACAGAGUUUGCCUGGGAAGGGUGUGCCUGGGGAAAGACACAGGAAGAAGGAGAAGAGAUGAUGCUACAAGACAUCUUCCUGACUUCCAGAGUGAGACUGAAGUUUGUAACAAGGCCAGCUGACAGAAGCAUUGUGCCCAGCCUGGGAUCCCCUUGCCCACAAAGCCUCACACUGGGCUGCAAGAACAGCAAAUGGGCUCCUCUGUUCUGGCAGGAGCCUGCAUGGCAGCCUGUGUGAAACACUUCUGAGAAUCAGCACAGGAUUUAUCUGGAAAGUAUGACCAACAGGAGCAGCUUACUCACCAUUAGAUAAGUAUUGCAGAUGACUCAUGCUAGAGUAUUGAUAGCUGUGCUGCUGAGAUGGAUAUCCUGUUUUAUAGCAGCUGUAGUGUGAUGCCAAGAGCCAGGAACCUUAAUUUAGCUAUCCAUGCUUUUCUGUGAAAAUGAUUUGGGUCUCUGGCACCUUUUCUCAUUGGCUUGUCCAUCUAAAGGGUUCACAGGGGAGGUUUUGCCUUCCUGAGUGAGGUACAGUAUAUGGGGCAUCUCACCUUGAAAUGAAAACUAGUGUUGAAAAGCUACAGCUUUAUAGCUGUUCUUCAGGACAUGCAAUAUUUGUCUUUUUAACAGAUGUUAUUAGUGACUUUCCUCGAUUCUUUGGGUUUUUUUGUUUUAUUUGUGUUUUUUUCAGAGCCAUUAUACCCCUUCUUCAGCAAAGCAAACCAGAAGGUGCAGAAACAGAUUUUCUAACUAUGGAAGCUCUCCUGAGGAGCUGCAUUAUGCUCUGCUGCCCCUGGGAUGGGAUGCAGAGCAAGGAGUGAAGAAGAGCUGCCAUGUGCCAAUGCAAGUUGCUUUUGUGAGGAGAGGGGCUUUCUGGCAUGUCAUAUGGUGCUGAAAGACAUUUUUACUCUUGGCAACAAAAAUCCUUAUCCUUUUUUUUUUUUUUUUUUUCCUAUCCAGGACAGAUGCUAUUUCCUGUUAGAGAUGAUUUAUAUGCAAAUCAAGGUGAUACAACAAGAAAAAAAGUCCUGAAAGCAAUCACACUUGAUAAACUCAGCCCACUGGGGAAUUCCUGCUUAGCAUUUAUCUUUUCUUUUUUUCAGUUCUGUACAAGAUUCUUCUUUGCCUGUGCUUUCUUACGGUCUUUAAUGUUUGUCCUGCAGACCUCUUGCUUAUGAACUACAGUGCUUGCAUUUUGCAGAGCUCAUGUCAGUAUUCAUAAACAAAAGGCAACAAAUGCUGGAAAUUUGGGUUAACAGUCCCUGUGUUUCAUCUUCAUCAUGCAUUGAGUUGGUGCUUUCUGAAGUUUAAGCCAGACGUGAGCCUCACACUGCAGACUGCCAUGUGCCUGUAGUGAUGAUCUACCUGGAAAGGUGAUCCCAGAAACCUCAGGCAUGAAAAAAGAGAGAUAAAAAGCAAAAAGAAGCCAGCAAAAAGUUGACCUAGUAACUUAAACAGGAGCAGGAUUUGACCUGAGGCACCUCAAGAUACAGUGUGGGCAGCACUUCACUAAUGCAGUAACACGAGUUGAUCACCUCAUUGCUCCAGCAAAGCAAACUCACACAGAAUCACAGCCUGGUUUGGGUGAGAAGUGAUCAAACGUCACCUAGUUGAACUCCCUUGCCAUGGGCAGGGACACCUCCUAUCAGGCCAGGUUGUGCAGGGCCCCUCCCAACCUGGCCUUGAACAUUUCCAGGGGUUGGGCAUCCACAGCUUCCCUGGGCAUCUGCUCAGCCUGUGCCCUGUAGGUGUCCCUGUAAAUGGAUGGGGCUGAUCAAAGCCUUGCUCUCACCAGGCUGCCACCCUGCUGAUGGUACAACAGGCUGCAAGGGUGAAAAAAAGACUCAGCAACAGAAAAGGACGUGUCAGAGAGCUGCAGAAUGGCACUGCCAAAUAACAUUCUCGUGUGUGUCCAGAGAUAGCUGCUGCAGCCCAGGCCUUGUUGAAUCAUGCUGUGGUUGUUCUGGCCUUUGUGUGGGUAACAGUGAUAAUCACUGUGUGUGGUGUUGGGUUUUAUUAUUUGCUUUUUUCCCUUAAGUGUAAAAUUAACAGUCAAAUUGGCAUUGGUGAGGCAGCAAGCCUGGUGCAGCUUUUAUCUAUCCUGAGCCUCGGAACAAAGGAGGGCAGGAAAAUGGCUUGAGCAGUUUGGCGGCCGUGCACGUAACGGUCCCGGAGUUCAAAGCAAAAGGCAAACAGUCAGAUACCCAAACCCGCCUGGGCUUUGCCUGAUAAGUCACAUUUCAAAGUAAAAGGCAAUCCUGUAAGGGCUCUGCUGAGUGCCUAAAGCCUCCCUCCAGUGCUGAGUCGUCUUUAAAAGGGGAUUUCAUAAGGAAUAAUAUGAACAGAAAUGGCUCUUUUGUGGUUUUACACAUUCCAGGCAUGCCAGGACUGUUCCUGUCAAGGAUGGGCAGUCUCUGGGGUUUUGGGUUCUUUUUUUUUUUUCCCAAAUAUUUGCCACAAACUAGCAGCUGAAAUGGUGAAAAAUAAAUGAGAGUUGCAAAAUCAUUACAGUAGCAGUAAUGGAAACUGUGAGGCUUAUACUUAAACUGGCUGUGGGGUUUCACUCCAUCUUCUGCACUGUUGCACUGUCAGGAUUGCUACUUUUACCUGCUAUGACCACUUCAGGAUGGAUGAUUUGAAAGCAGGUCUUUAACUGAUGGUUACCCAGGGCCUCAAAAAACAGUGCUUUUGGUUUUUUCAGAAGCAAUAUCUCAGCUGAGCCACUGUUAAGUCUGAAUUCCUUCAGUGUCAGUGCAGUUAUGUGGCCAUACAGCAUCUUUACCUGAUGAUUUCUGCAGGUCUUUGGGUACAGAAAUGGGGCCCAGCUGCUCCUGCUUCAGGUGCACUUUUGUUUCACACAGGUUGUGCCAGUUGGAUUGCACCUGUACCCGUUAACACAGAGUUUUAAUUGAUGUAAGAGUUCCAAUGCACAAAGUUGUGGUGCCUGAAAUCUGAAAGAAGAGCACCUUCACUCUGCCUUAGAACAGUCUGAAAUUUCAUAUGCAGUAAAACACCAGAUGUUUUGUGUAGAGCUGCCCUGUUACAUGAGUGUCUAACUCAUUGCCUACAUGUCCUGUUCUUCUCCACAUGGAUGCUGCUCCUGUUGCCACAGUCCUGUGUCUGGUGUACUAGCAGGACCCCAUGGACAGCUGGGAAAGCCAUGGCCAGAGGUGUUACUGCUGUCAGCUCACAAAAAGUAUGGCUGUAAAAAUGUGCAAUUAAGUGUGGGCUCAGCUCCCCUGAGGCACCCUGCACAAACAUUCAGUACCUUUAUUAGCAGCACACACUGACCACAGCCAGCACCCUGAUGAGCUGGGGCUGCACCUUCAGCUGUUCUCAGGUGAGACUAAUCCCUCUGUGGGGGGAGCAGAAAAUGGAGCCAGGCUCAUCCCAGCAGAGUCUGAACCAUAGAUAUCCAUCCUGACAAUUUGUUUUCAGCCCAGGUUUGGCCUGAGCACAAAUGCAGACAGAGGGUGAGGGAGCAUCUCUUUGAAAGUGGCAGCAAAAGAGGCACUGUUGGAAUGAACUCUCCUGGUUUUAUUAAAUGUGUAUAUGGUUACUUAGUGGUGAACAGGAACUGGAGUGGAUUUAGGAGAUGGUUUCUGAGGCCCCCUCCCAUCCUCCAACACAGGCUGAUAUUACAGGGAAGUCUCAAUGCUGUUGUGGGGCUGUGGGUGGAGGAACUUAAUCACCAGGGUUGUCAUCAAAUGCUGCACUUACAAGAUACAAGGAAGAAGUAUUAAUUCUGUGCUCAACAAAAAUAUUUUUCAUCUUAAAGAAGUCUGGUCUUGUAGCCUUCUGGAGUGCUGCCAUUUUAAUUUUUUUUUCCUUAAAAAAGGGGGAAAAUUCUUUUCUUUCACCAUUGGUGCUACCAACCACAGAAAUUUGGAAACAAAAAGUCAGAAAGGGUGUUCAGCAGUGAGCUGUCUUUUUAUUAGGCUGAUCUUCCAGGAGUUGGUUUUGAAGUAGAUUUUGUUCUGUCCUCUCAAGGUCUCUGCUGUGGAAAUACUUAUUGCUGUGAAACUGUAGCAAGCUUUAUGAGUGGCAGGAAAAACUACUUUAGUAACCAAACAAAUGUGCUUUCCUUACAAGUCACACAGGUGUACAUUUAGAAUUUUUUUUUUGUUUUGUUUUGUACCAAAAUAAUUUUUCAACUGGUUUAUCUGGAGUGGGAAAAUGAGUGGACCUUGACUUGCAUUUUAAUAUAGAUUUCAUCCAUUUAAUCACAACAGAAGGGUACCUAGAGAUUCUCUGUUUUCCUUCUUUUUCUGUGUAUUUGCUUAGUGUUUUGUUCUUCAGAAUCUCUGUUUUCCCUCUUUUUGAUGGUUUGAGAUUUUUGACAGAGAGGGCAAAAAUGCUUAAAAGUUCUAAUGUCCUUGGGAAGGCUACAAAAGUUAUGCAGAGGUGAAGAGAUGCAGGCAACCCAUAGAAGAGCCAAUUUUUGACAGCAUGGGAAGUGGUUAGCACCUCAUUGGACAUCCUCACAUCAAAGCUGGACAGUGGGCAGCUUGAGAUACUCUGCUUGAACCACAAAUUGCUGGGCUUUGGGCAGAAAUCACUAUGAAAUUCUGUGGUCUUUAUUAGGCAGGCGGACAGACAAAAUAAUUCUGCUGGUUUCUCUCAACUCUUAGAAUUUAUGAAUCACAUAGUCAGGGUGUUCUUGGGGGGGGUUGAGUUUCCAUGAAAAGUUUGCCUUGGUAGCAUGCAGACAACAAAACCCAUCUGUUCUCUUGUCUUUUCAUCAUGCUGUGUUGCUUUUGAAUUGUUCCAGAGGGAGGAUGAAAUUGGGCUUGUUAUUUAAAUUUCAGUAUGGGUGGCCAAAGCAACUCUACCUUGGUUAUUACGGGCCUCCUGUGACCACAGGAAUGGAUGGUGCUUUAUGCCAGCCCUGAUUUACCAAACCUGAGGACCGACUCAUCACUGCAGCGUUGCCCGUGGGAAUUGUGUGCCAUGGAUCCUGCAGCAAGGCAGUGUCUGGGAAUAUCUCCUACACUCUGUAGUAGUAAGGAUGUGAUCAGCCCUUGCAGGCUGGUGUCUGUGGAAAAAGAACCAACUCCACACUCAUUUAUGGCAGUUGAAGAGUUGGGAGCAAAGCAUUCAGGUUCUGUCUGAAGUGUGUGUGUGAGCCCAUCUGGGGAGUAGUGUCAGGGAGAGAGUCCAUGGGAUCCUCCAGCUCGUGGUGGAGCUGAGACAGAAAGGAACCCUGCAACUCUGGGGAGCAAGUAGGAGCAGGGAUGUGGUCAGGACUUUGUCCUUUUAAAGGGGGACUGCCUGGUGUCUGUACUUGAAAAAAGGAGGGGAAGUGCCAGGAAGAAUUCAUGGAAAGCCACAGAUAACUUGGGUUUGUUUUGACUCCAGGUUUGAAGAGUGCAAUGUAUUUGGUUAGUUGGGAUGAAGACUGGCAAGGGGGUGACUUGAUUGCCACAUCUAGAGGAAGAAAGUUUUGGUCAGCAGGUUUGGGCUAAGGAGGAACCCUUAAAAUUUCUGUGUCCUUUUCCAGAUUUUAGAGGAAAUGUCUCUCUAGCAUUGCAGGUUUAAUCUAAAAUACUGGUUUUACUAUGUACAGGUCUUGGGUGAAAGGGGUUGAUAUGCAGUGUAGUGAAGACAGGAUGAAUUAUUUGGGUCUUUCUGCCUUUAUGCUCAGAACUCUGGUACUCCCAGCACCUUCUUCCCUCAAAGAAGGAAAGCAGCUUCUACCCCUCCCUGGGGUAGGGAAGUUCUGCCACAACACUGGGCAUAGUGUAAACUGUCAGGACAAAACACUUGCCAUCUCAUCUUAAGACAGGUGUCUAAGGUAUCUGGCUUUCCCUAUGGUAAUGGCUGUUGUCUCCAGCACCUAUGUGGGAGACCAGAAAUCUGGCAGAGAUGUGGACUCCUGUGCUUUGGAUGUCUGGAGCUGCACGAGGUGAACACCUCUCUCACUCCUGUGUGCUUGAUGAGGAGUUAGUGGAACACAGAACCUAACAAAGAACUGACAUCACCUGAGAUGAAAAUAAUAUGCAAACUUUAAUGAGCUCUCUGCAGCUGAGCAGCCUCUGGAGGUCCUGUACCAAACCUGACCCACUUGCUGAACCCCAGCAGUGCAGCACUGAGCACUCCUCUGCCUGCCUGCAGAACAAUGAAAGGACAGCAGUAUGGAAAGCGACAAGUACAGGGGCAGCAAUCAGUGGUAGAUGUUGCUGAGAAGAUGAUUCCCAUGUGCUCCUCAGAAGGGCUGCUGAGCUGCUAGACAAGCACCAAGAUUUCCCUUCCUGUGUGCAUGUGUCCUGCUGGCUGCAGCCCUUGCUGGACCCUGGAGGAUGUGAGGCUCUGGCACUCCCUGGGCAGUGAUGCUCCAGGGCCUUUGAAUGGCUGUCCAGAAUAGGGAGGGAAAACUACCUCCUCCCAGACACAAAUCACAUUGAUUUGCUGGUGUUUUUUAUUACUUUUUCUUUUGGCUGUCUGAAUAACUGAAGUGCAAACCUCUUUCACCUAUUUGACAUUAAUUCACUAAUGGAUGGCAGAAGGUUUCAUGUUUGGUUUUUAACUGAAAGAGUGAUGAUGCAAUUAUAAACCUCACAUCCAUUAUGUAUCUUGGAACCAUGUGAAAAGUGUGAGUUUUUACAGAAAACAUGAGAGUGGUGGGAGUUGUGGAAUAAACUUUUUAAU